RNAcentral lists this ribosomal RNA (468 nucleotides) under uncultured bacterium. Its description in RNAcentral is "partial 16S ribosomal RNA". It matches the Rfam family "Bacterial small subunit ribosomal RNA", at positions 28 to 507 of the family's 1533-position model. The record is from RNAcentral.
GACGAACGCUGGCGGCGUGCUUAACACAUGCAAGUCGAACGGAAAGGCCCUGCUUUUGCGGGGUUCUCGAGUGGCGAACGGGUGAGUAACACGUGAGUAACCUGCCCUUGUCUUUGGGAUAACUUCAGGAAACUGGGGCUAAUACCGGAUAGGAGCUCCUGCUGCAUGGUGGGGGUUGGAAAGUUUCGGCGGUUGGGGAUGGACUCGCGGCUUAUCAGCUUGUUGGUGGGGUAGUGGCUUACCAAGGCUUUGACGGGUAGCCGGCCUGAGAGGGUGACCGGCCACAUUGGGACUGAGAUACGGCCCAGACUCCUACGGGAGGCAGCAGUGGGGAAUAUUGCACAAUGGGCGGAAGCCUGAUGCAGCAACGCCGCGUGCGGGAUGACGGCCUUCGGGUUGUAAACCGCUUUCGCCUGUGACGAAGCGUGAGUGACGGUAAUGGGUAAAGAAGCACCGGCUAACUACGUG